Molecule: non-coding RNA, 98 nt
Filed under: Burkholderiales bacterium
Lineage: Bacteria; Pseudomonadati; Pseudomonadota; Betaproteobacteria; Burkholderiales
Description: Glycine sequence
Rfam family: Glycine riboswitch aptamer
About the family: This family represents the bacterial glycine riboswitch.
Source: RNAcentral
UUCUGCUGGAGAGAGGCCGCCGCCCACACUGGCGGCCCACCGAAGGGGCAAGACCGGCGCGCCGGAUCGAAUCUCUCAGGUAAAGAGGACAGCAGGGU